This 197-nucleotide non-coding RNA is filed under the name Bacillus sp. ISL-47. RNAcentral's name for it is "6S RNA". It matches the Rfam family "6S / SsrS RNA". From Rfam's summary of the family: E. coli 6S RNA was the first non coding RNA to be sequenced, but its function was unknown until recently. It consists of 184 nucleotides that fold into an extended hairpin structure with a large single-stranded internal bulge. The 6S RNA specifically associates with RNA polymerase holoenzyme containing the sigma70 specificity factor. Lineage: Bacteria; Bacillati; Bacillota; Bacilli; Caryophanales; Bacillaceae. The record is from RNAcentral. RNAcentral also lists the same sequence under 1 other name.
AACAAGCUGCAUUGUACGUAAUCAUAAUAAAGUUUUAACCUUUAAGCUGUAAUAGGGAGUUUAACAUCGAAACAGGAAUGACAAGCCUCCGUCUAUACGACAAGGAGGACAGGCAGGAAUGUUUUUGCAAACACCCACUUUGAGAAGUGGUGGUUUAAAACUUUCUUAUAACCAGUUACGGCAAGAGCGGCUACAUA